This 487-nucleotide ribosomal RNA is filed under the name uncultured bacterium. RNAcentral describes it as "partial 16S ribosomal RNA". It matches the Rfam family "Bacterial small subunit ribosomal RNA", at positions 28 to 507 of the family's 1533-position model. The record is from RNAcentral.
GACGAACGCUGGCGGCGUGCUUAACACAUGCAAGUCGAACGAAAAGUCCCUGUUUCUGUGGGGUGCUCGAGAGGCGAAAGGGGGAGUGACACGAAAGUAACCUGACCUUGACUGUGGGAUAACUUAAGGAAAGUGGGGACAAUAGCGGAUAGGAGCUCAUGCUGCAUGGCGAGGGUGGAAAGUUGGGGCGGUUGGAGAUGGACUCGCGGCUUAUCAGCUUGGUUGUGGGAGAGUGGCUUACCAAGGCUAUGAUGGGUAAGCGAAUUGAGAGGGUGAUCGGCCACAUUAGAACUUAGACACGGCCCAAACUCCUGCGGGACGCAGCAGUCGGGAAUCUGCCACAGUGGGCGAAAGCCUGAUGGAGCAACGCCGCGUGGGAUAAGAAGGUCUUCGGAUCGUAAAACCCUCUUGUUAGAGAAGAAAGUGCGUCGGCGUAACUGUUCACGUUUUGACGGUAUCUAACCAGAAAGCCCCGGCUAACUACGUG